UACGUAGGGGGCAAGCGUUGUCCGGAUUUAUUGGGCGUAAAGAGCUCGUAGGUGGUUCGGUAAGUCGGAUGUGAAAUCUCCAGGCUCAACCUGGAGGGGUCAUUCGAUACUGCCGUGACUAGAGGUCGGUAGGGGAGUGUGGAAUUCCUGGUGGAGCGGUGAAAUGCGCAGAUAUCAGGAGGAACACCCGUAGCGAAGGCGGCUCUCUGGGACGGUACUGACGCUGAGACGCGAAAGCGUGGGGAGCGAACAGG
This 254-nucleotide ribosomal RNA is filed under the name uncultured bacterium. RNAcentral's name for it is "partial 16S ribosomal RNA". It matches the Rfam family "Bacterial small subunit ribosomal RNA", at positions 524 to 776 of the family's 1533-position model. The record is from RNAcentral.